UUGUUAGUUGCCAUCAUUGAGUUGGGCACUCUAGCGAGACUGCCGGUAAUAAACCGGAGGAAGGUGGGGAUGACGUCAAAUCAUCAUGCCCCUUAUGACCUGGGCUACACACGUGCUACAAUGGCUGGUACAACGAGUCGCAAGUCGGUGACGGCAAGCUAAUCUCUUAAAGCCAGUCUCAGUUCGGAUUGUAGGCUGCAACUCGCCUACAUGAAGUCGGAAUCGCUAGUAAUCGCGGAUCAGCACGCCGCGGUGAAUACGUUCCCGGGCCUUGUACACACCGCCCGUCACACCACGAGAGUUUGUAACACCCGAAGUCGGUGAGGUAACCUUUUAGGAGCCAGCCGCCUAAGGUGGGAUAGAUGAUUGGGGUGAAGUCGUAACAAGGUAGCCGUAUCGGAAGGUGCGGCUGGAUCACCUCCUUU
Molecule: ribosomal RNA, 425 nt
Filed under: Streptococcus suis
Lineage: Bacteria; Bacillati; Bacillota; Bacilli; Lactobacillales; Streptococcaceae
Description: bacterial SSU rRNA
Rfam family: Bacterial small subunit ribosomal RNA
Source: RNAcentral